UACGUAGGUGACCAGCGUUGUCCGGAUUUACUGGGCGUAAAGAGCGCGCAGGCGGUCGUUCAAGUCGAGUGUGAAAGCCCCCGGCUCAACUGGGGAGGGUCAUUCGAUACUGAUCGACUCGAAGGCAGGAGAGGGAAGCGGAAUUCCCGGUGUAGUGGUGAAAUGCGUAGAUAUCGGGAGGAACACCAGUGGCGAAGGCGGCUUCCUGGCCUGUUCUUGACGCUGAGGCGCGAAAGCCAGGGGAGCGAACGGG
This 253-nucleotide ribosomal RNA is filed under the name uncultured bacterium. Its description in RNAcentral is "partial 16S ribosomal RNA". It matches the Rfam family "Bacterial small subunit ribosomal RNA", at positions 524 to 776 of the family's 1533-position model. The record is from RNAcentral.